This is a long non-coding RNA of Sarcophilus harrisii (Tasmanian devil), 2687 nucleotides long. The record is from Ensembl. Lineage: Eukaryota; Metazoa; Chordata; Mammalia; Dasyuromorphia; Dasyuridae.
CCUCCCUUCACCACGCGCCCGGCUCCUCGGACCAACCCCGGGGGAUACAUUGUUUGCGCUCCGGGUCUGGGUCACCGGAGUCGCUCUCUGGCACUGCGCCGCCGGCCAGCCUCCGCCGUUGGGAAGAGCGCGCCGUUGCCAUGGAGACCAGAUCGCCAUCACUGCUGCAGACGCUGCCGCUCCUCCCGCUCCUCUCCCGCUGUUGCUCCCUCCUCCCCCACGUAACCCUGGUAACGGUGUCCGUGGCGAGCAGGGAGGCGGCCCCCAAACACAAACAAUCUCUUCCUCCCCGCCCCGCCCCGCCCCGUGUGUCCCCGGGGGGACCAAAGUCUCCCGGCUGAUCCCGCUGCUCCCGCAGCGUCCCAGAGGGAGAAAAAGGGGUGGCCCUGCGGGAGCCCCGGGAGGGGAUGGGGCGACCCCGCCGCAGGCACCUUUCACUGGGGCUCCCGGGCCGGUCCAUGUCGAGCGCAGCGGGACGCGUCGCCAGACUCCCGCCCUGGCUCUCCGGUUCUCCGGCUCCGAGCCGCCGAGCCCCUCUCUCCGGGACCCACGCAGGAAAGGUUCCCUCCCUUGGCCAGCCCAGAAAGGGGAACUUGGCGUAGAAGGAAGCUCCCGCCCGCCGUCUGCGAGAACUGAUCACCAAGAAGGAUUGGAGCGCAAAGGAAAGCCGUUUCUGCCGGGGCCAGGACCCCCCACCUCCCCAGAGGCAGGCAGGAGCCGGGGACGUGUCCAUCAUCACAUACCCGCCCCUCUGUGGCUCUGAGCAUCUCCCCCGACUCCGGCAUCUGGGGACCAGGGAAGGGAGUGGGAGAGGACUCGGGGGAAUGCCGGAGACGGGAAACUACGUGUUCCGGAGGAGCUGGGAUUUCUAGGGGGCAACCGCACCCAUUACUCAAGCUCCUCACAACCCCGGGGACUCCUCCCAUCCCUUUUAACUGCGCCGAGAGCCUGCCCAGGGGACAGGUUUAGACACCGGGCCCUUCUCCGUGUUGUGUUUGUUUGACUGUAGGAUGGGGAGGAGGACUCAUUUCCGAUGCCUAAAAGGGAGGUUCUAUCCCUGGCUGAAGGGUUGGGGUUGGGGGCAAGCUGGAGGAGUGACGAGUUCUCUGUAUUAGCCCCUCCUCCAAAAUGGAAGAAGACUUUACCAGAUAUAAGAGAGGGGCUCCAUUCAAAACUAACCUCGCCUGAAAAGUUAGAUUUCAAGUAACUCAUUCACGGAGAAAAUCAUCUUCUGCUUCAAGAAGAAAAACAAUGUCAGUGAAUCCCCAAGUCAAAGCCCCCGAGGCGGUGCUCCAAAGGCUCGUCAGUUUUUCCUCUAGACACAAGCACCUUAGGGGAAGGGGGCUCGGCAUGAAGGAGUAGCUUGGAGAAUUUUUUGUGCGCUUCGCCGAAGCCCUCCCUGUUCCCCAGACUGGCUCUUUGUGUAUCUCGGUACAUUUCUGGCGUAGGGGACUUAAGUCAUCAAUAGUGACUAAGAGACAACGAAUGAAGGGGAAAGAUCUAGUUCUAUUAUCAUUCCCCUUAUCAAAAAGCUUUACUCGUUACAUACCAAAAAGUCCUAAUUUCUCCCCCAGACAUUCAAGAUGCUAUGCGAUAGGGAUACCAAGUUACCUUUUCGAUCUUACUUUCCAUUACUAUAGUCACCCCAAAAUCUAGCUGACUUCAUCCUAUGAUCUCAUCCUUUCCACCUACAGUUACUCUUUCUGUUCCUUCUUCCUGGAAUGUUCUCCUUCCUCUCCCAGCUCUUCACCUCUGCUUGGGGAAAUCCCACUCACCCUUAAAAAGGAGGGUUAAUUCAUUAACCUUCAUUAAGCCUUUUCUGACUUCCCCCAGUCUGAUGAGAUCUCUUCCCUCUAGUCAUCUCAGAACUUUCUCUAUUUCUCUAAAGCAUAUUUCUUCGGCAUCAUAAUUGUGCACUUGCCCUGUUCCCAGUAAUAGUACUCGAGUGAUCCAAAACUUUAAGGCAUACACCUGUAGAAACCUAGCAUUCUUCUCUGCCUUGUUGGUUCUCUGAUAAUCCCCCAAAAGUCUUGUCUCAGGUAUAGCAGGAAAAGGCUCUCAUGCCAUUCAGAGAGACCUCGAAAAUCCUUGGAGGGUAAGAGUGAAAGAAGGAAAGGUCCAAUUUACAGUAUAAUUCACUAGAUAGUAAACUUCAGGAGGAUGAAUUAUGUUUUACUAGUAUUUAUAAUCUUGGAAACAUCUAUUACAACAGUGUCUUGCACAUCAAAGGUUCACAAGGGUGUGUGUGUGUGUGUGUGUGUGUGUGUGAUUUGUUGAAUGGCUAAAAAGGGGGAAAAACUCAAAAAGCAACAUAUUCAAAUUAGCAACACAAGAAAGUAAUAGGCUAUGACCAUGUAAAUUGUAUGUAAAUACCAUGUAAAGCAAAUGCAAAUUAAAUUGUGCCUUUCCUAUUUCAUCCAGACAGAUAAGGCUGUCAGGAAAAUCCUAAGGAAGAUAACUGUCCUCCAGGGGAAUGGACUGAAUUGUCCCUAAGAAGGAAAGGAUAAUACUGAUACUGCACCCUCUCUUCCCUCCCUCUUAAACAAUUAGGCCCUCGUCCAUUCAAAUGAAAGACCCCGAACUAACCCUCUUAACAGUAAAAAAUUGUUCACAUGGUGUGAUUUCAGGAACCUUAGGAAAAUCAGGUGCCCCCAAAUACCAAGCUUUAUUUUACAACUUUAAACCAC